RNAcentral lists this ribosomal RNA (506 nucleotides) under uncultured bacterium. RNAcentral's name for it is "partial 16S ribosomal RNA". It matches the Rfam family "Bacterial small subunit ribosomal RNA", at positions 29 to 523 of the family's 1533-position model. The record is from RNAcentral.
AGUGAACGCUGGCGGUAGGCCUAACACAUGCAAGUCGAACGGCAGCACAGGAGAGCUUGCUCUCUGGGUGGCGAGUGGCGGACGGGUAAGGAAUACAUCGGAAUCUACUCUGUCGUGGGGGAUAACGUAGGGAAACUUACGCUAAUACCGCAUACGACCUACGGGUGAAAGCAGGGGACCUUCGGGCCUUGCGCGAUUGAAUGAGCCGAUGUCGGAUUAGCUAGUUGGCGGGGUAAAGGCCCACCAAGGCGACGAUCCGUAGCUGGUCUGAGAGGAUGAUCAGCAGCACUGGAACUGAGACACGGUCCAGACUCCUACGGGAGGCAGCAGUGGGGAAUAUUGGACAAUGGGCGCAAGCCUGAUCCAGCCAUACCGCGUGGGUGAAGAAGGCCUUCGGGUUGUAAAGCCCUUUUGUUGGGAAAGAAAUCCAGCUGGCUAAUACCCGGUUGGGAUGACGGUACCCAAAGAAUAAGCACCGGCUAACUUCGUGCCAGCCGCCGCGGUAA